Molecule: ribosomal RNA, 654 nt
Filed under: uncultured Bacteroidota bacterium
Lineage: Bacteria; Pseudomonadati; Bacteroidota
Description: bacterial SSU rRNA
Rfam family: Bacterial small subunit ribosomal RNA
Source: RNAcentral
AACACAUGCAAGUCGAGGGGCAGCGGGGGUGUAGCAAUACACCCGCCGGCGACCGGCGCACGGGUGAGUAACACGUAUGCAACCUGCCCUUUACAGGGGGAUAAGCGGAAGAAAUUCCGUCUAAUACCGCAUAAUAUUCCCGGAGGACAUCCUUCGGGGAUCAAAGGGUUUACCGGUAAAGGAUGGGCAUGCGUCGCAUUAGUUAGUUGGCGGUGUAACGGACCACCAAGACGACGAUGCGUAGGGGUUCUGAGAGGAAGGUCCCCCACACUGGUACUGAGACACGGACCAGACUCCUACGGGAGGCAGCAGUGAGGAAUAUUGGUCAAUGGGCGAGAGCCUGAACCAGCCAAGUCGCGUGAGGGAAGACGGUCCUAUGGAUUGUAAACCUCUUUUGUCGGGGAGCAAGGGCUGCCACGUGUGGCAGGGCGAGAGUACCCGAAGAAAAAGCAUCGGCUAACUCCGUGCCAGCAGCCGCGGUAAUACGGAGGAUGCGAGCGUUAUCCGGAUUUAUUGGGUUUAAAGGGUGCGUAGGCGGACUGUUAAGUCGGUGGUAAAAUUGAGAGGCUCAACCUCUUCGAGCCAUUGAAACUGGCGGUCUUGAGUGGGCGAGAAGUAUGCGGAAUGCGUGGUGUAGCGGUGAAAUGCAUAGAU